CUCUCACCACAGCCCUGACACAUGCACCCAAUGAUGAUACGUACCGAUGCAUGACAGAAGGAACUGGGGCUUUUCCCUGUUUUAGUGAAGAUAAGCCAAUUCAUUACUGAAGCUGGAUGUUUUCUGAUAAAACAGGUACUUCUGUUCUUUUAAGGAAUGUGUAAAGCAGCUUGAAGAUGUACUGUAAAUACUGUUUGUGGAUCUAUA
RNAcentral lists this long non-coding RNA (207 nucleotides) under Gallus gallus (chicken). The record is from RNAcentral. Lineage: Eukaryota; Metazoa; Chordata; Aves; Galliformes; Phasianidae.